GAUGAACGCUGGCGGCGUGCCUAAUACAUGCAAGUCGAGCGAACAGACGAGGAGCUUGCUCCUCUGACGUUAGCGGCGGACGGGUGAGUAACACGUGGAUAACCUACCUAUAAGACUGGGAUAACUUCGGGAAACCGGAGCUAAUACCGGAUAAUAUAUUGAACCGCAUGGUUCAAUAGUGAAAGACGGUUUUGCUGUCACUUAUAGAUGGAUCCGCGCCGCAUUAGCUAGUUGGUAAGGUAACGGCUUACCAAGGCAACGAUGCGUAGCCGACCUGAGAGGGUGAUCGGCCACACUGGAACUGAGACACGGUCCAGACUCCGACGGGAGGCAGCAGUAGGGAAUCUUCCGCAAUGGGCGAAAGCUUGACGGAGCAACGCCGCGUGAGUGAUGAAGGUCUGCGGAUCGUAAAACGCUGUUAUUAGGGAAGAACAAAUGUGUAAGUAACGAUGCACGUCUGGACGGUACCUAAGCAGAAAGCCACGGCUAACUACGG
This 496-nucleotide ribosomal RNA is filed under the name uncultured bacterium. Its description in RNAcentral is "partial 16S ribosomal RNA". It matches the Rfam family "Bacterial small subunit ribosomal RNA", at positions 28 to 506 of the family's 1533-position model. The record is from RNAcentral.